GUUAGGUAGAGCACCUCGUUUACACGCGCGCCAAUGUUUUUCAGGGGAGUCUAUCAUGUAAUAAAAAAAAUUGAUCCUUUUGAGAAAUCGAUGUCUUACUCCAUUAUUUUGAAGGAACAAAACAAGAGAACAAUAGCCUGACAAAUGGUUUGGUUCGAUUCGGGUACCGUUUAGGUAGGAGCAGGAUCCGAAUCGAAUCUAUCAUUGAUUUGAUAUAUUGAUAGGGCGAAUACCUAGUCUAUUCAAUGCUAGGCAUAAUGAGUAUAAAGACCUCAAAAAUUUUCUUUUCGUCCUAUGAAUCUUAAGGUGUAUGAAGUUUCAUCUUUGAUUUUUUAAUCAGGAUGAUAGAGACUUCAUUUAACUUAGGUUGAUCUAGGCCAGAAGCAAACUUAUGUUAAGAUAAACUUUCCCUUCUUUGAAACACUUUGGUAGUGCUCCUGUAUCAGUAAUGAAUCAGAGCACAUGGAACCAUCUUCUUUUUUUUCUAAGAGAAAAAAUAUAUAU
This 504-nucleotide long non-coding RNA is filed under the name Durio zibethinus. Its description in RNAcentral is "long non-coding RNA (DZIB_LNC000529)". The record is from RNAcentral. Lineage: Eukaryota; Viridiplantae; Streptophyta; Magnoliopsida; Malvales; Malvaceae.